Molecule: transfer RNA, 71 nt
Filed under: Camelus bactrianus (Bactrian camel)
Lineage: Eukaryota; Metazoa; Chordata; Mammalia; Artiodactyla; Camelidae
Also listed under: 1 other name
Rfam family: tRNA
About the family: Transfer RNA (tRNA) molecules are approximately 80 nucleotides in length. Their secondary structure includes four short double-helical elements and three loops (D, anti-codon, and T loops).
Source: Rfam by way of RNAcentral
GGGGGUAUAGCUCAGUGGUAGAGUGUGUGCUUAGCAUGCACGAGGUCCUGGGUCCAAACCCAGUAUCUCCA